RNAcentral lists this ribosomal RNA (301 nucleotides) under uncultured soil bacterium. Its description in RNAcentral is "bacterial SSU rRNA". It matches the Rfam family "Bacterial small subunit ribosomal RNA", at positions 62 to 360 of the family's 1533-position model. The record is from RNAcentral.
UCGAACGGUAACAGGUGUAGCAAUACAUGCUGACGAGUGGCAGACGGGUGAGGAACACGUACACAACCUCCCUCUUACUGGGGCACAACUCCGAGAAAUCGGGGCUAAUUCCCCAUAAAAUUUUGUUCCGGCAUCGGGAUAAAAUUAAAACUCCGGUGGUAAGAGAUGGGUGUGCGUCUGAUUAGCUAGUUGGUGAGGUAACGGCCCACCAAGGCAACGAUCAGUAACUGGUGUGAGAGCACGACCAGUCACACGGGCACUGAGAUACGGGCCCGACUCCUACGGGAGGCAGCAGUAAGGA